This is a long non-coding RNA of Pundamilia nyererei, 1080 nucleotides long. RefSeq lists it as uncharacterized. NCBI's taxonomy places the organism in Eukaryota, Metazoa, Chordata, Actinopteri, Cichliformes, Cichlidae. The transcript is spliced from 3 exons. The record is from RefSeq and is a predicted model, not a curated record.
GGAGGGUGGGAGAGGAGGGAGAGCAGAAACGUGUAAUCACCCAAACAACCGUUUUUACCCGUUUCACCCCCUCUGGAUCUGUGUCGCAAGGUGAGAAAAGGGCUGCUUGGGCUUCCACGCUGGCCCUCGCUGCAUCACAAAGUGCACAGGCAGACUUCGGUAACAACUCCUCUCCUCUAUUCUUACACCCCGCAGUCCGCUGUGAGCCUGUCUGCCUUUCACUGCGGAUAUCGUGGAGGGAGGCCGGAGCGUGAAGAAGACACCAGAGAGGUGUGUGGCAUGUGGAAAAGUGUGCAGACACGAUCAACAUGUGACUUAUCCUAAAAACGCUCUUGAACAAUUGCCUUGCUAAUCACAUUAUGGAUACAGUAAGCUCAACAAAUUGGAGAAGAAAUGUGAUCCCUCGGAAUAGAAGAAAUCAGCUUUAAGUGGUAUGUAGUUUAUUUGGGACUUUUUUUUACUUGAAAAGUGCACAAAAAUAUGAUCCCCACUUAUAUAUUCUUAUAUGUUCUAUCAGAAUUCAUAAGCAUAAUUAUACGCACAGGUGACAAAUGAAAGGGAAAGACGACAUCAAGUGUCGAACAUGCUGUUGAACAAUGGGUUGUAAUGAAGUUGUAAUGAAGGGUUUUCUAAAUCGAUAUAGUAACGUCACACAAGAAUGUAAAAGAGCUAUGUCCAUCAAUAUUGAAAUAAUGUUUUUAUUAAGCCUUUUCAACUUCUUAACUUUUUUGUUCAAACCCAUGUUACUUGGUGUUCUUCAUGUGUUCUGCAUAUCAUAUAACCUUGAGCCGCCAGCCUUAAGAGAUGAGAAAUGGGCCACAGAGUUUUCAGUUUGUUCUAACUAUGCACCUCCUAGAUUUUCUGAUCCUUGCACACUUGCAGCCCCAACCAGUGCUCACACAAGUGAGGAAAUUUAUCAGACUUUGUACAGCUCCCUCUGGAGGGAGUAGUAUAUGUAGUAAUAAACAGAGUUUAAUGUGUCCAAUCAUAUAAGAUAAACACAGGGGCGGCAAAGGUUCCUCCUCAUGUUUUGUUGAUGGAAACGCAUACAUGAUCACGCAAACACACACACGCACACGC